Molecule: ribosomal RNA, 253 nt
Filed under: uncultured bacterium
Lineage: Bacteria
Description: partial 16S ribosomal RNA
Rfam family: Bacterial small subunit ribosomal RNA
Source: RNAcentral
UACGGAGGGGACUAGCGUUGUUCGGAAUUACUGGGCGUAAAGCGCACGUAGGCGGAUUUGUAAGUCAGGGGUGAAAUCCCGGGGCUCAACCUCGGAACUGCCUUUGAUACUGCAAAUCUCGAGUCCGGAAGAGGUGAGUGGAAUUCCUAGUGUAGAGGUGAAAUUCGUAGAUAUUAGGAAGAACACCAGUGGCGAAAGCGACUUUCUGGGCCAUUCCUGACGCUGAGGUUCGAAAGCUCGGGGAGCAAACAGG